UGAGGAAUUUUCCGCAAUGGGCGAAAGCCUGACGGAGCGACGCCGUGUGUGUGAUGAAGUCCUUCGGGACGUAAAACACUGUCAGAGGGGAAGAUAUUGACGGUACCCUCAGAGGAAGGCCCGGCUAACUACGUGCCAGCAGCCGCGGUAAUACGUAGGGGCCAAGCGUUGUCCGGAAUCAUUGGGCGUAAAGAGCGCGUAGGCGGUUUGGUAAGUCAGAUGUUAAAUCUACAGGCUCAACCUGUAGCUGCAUCUGAUACUGCUUGACUAGAGAAUGUUAGAGGAAAGUGGAAUUUUCGGUGUAGCGGUGAAAUGCGUAGAUAUCGAAAGGAACACCAGUGGCGAAGGCGACUUUCUGGGACAUUUCUGACGCUGAGGCGCGAAAGCUAGGGGAGCAAACGGG
RNAcentral lists this ribosomal RNA (403 nucleotides) under uncultured bacterium. Its description in RNAcentral is "bacterial SSU rRNA". It matches the Rfam family "Bacterial small subunit ribosomal RNA", at positions 355 to 776 of the family's 1533-position model. The record is from RNAcentral.